AGAGUUUGAUCCUGGCUCAGGAUGAACGCCGGCGGUGUGCCUAAUACAUGCAAGUCGUACGCACUGGCCCUACUGAUUGAUGGUGCUUGCACCUGAUUGACGAUGGAUCACCAGUGAGUGGCGGACGGGUGAGUAACACGUAGGUAACCUGCCUCGGAGCGGGGGAUAACAUUUGGAAACAGAUGCUAAUACCGCAUAACAACAAAAGCCACAUGGCUUUUGUUUGAAAGAUGGCUUUGGCUAUCACUCUGGGAUGGACCUGCGGUGCAUUAGCUAGUUGGUAAGGUAACGGCUUACCAAGGCAAUGAUGCAUAGCCGAGUUGAGAGACUGAUCGGCCACAAUGGAACUGAGACACGGUCCAUACUCCUACGGGAGGCAGCAGUAGGGAAUCUUCCACAAUGGGCGCAAGCCUGAUGGAGCAACACCGCGUGAGUGAAGAAGGGUUUCGGCUCGUAAAGCUCUGUUGUUGGAGAAGAACGUGCGUGAGAGUAACUGUUCACGCAGUGACGGUAUCCAACCAGAAAGUCACGGCUAACUACGUGCCAGCAGCCGCGGUAAUACGUAGGUGGCAAGCGUUAUCCGGAUUUAUUGGGCGUAAAGCGAGCGCAGGCGGUUGCUUAGGUCUGAUGUGAAAGCCUUCGGCUUAACCGAAGAAGUGCAUCGGAAACCGGGCGACUUGAGUGCAGAAGAGGACAGUGGAACUCCAUGUGUAGCGGUGGAAUGCGUAGAUAUAUGGAAGAGCACCAGUGGCGAAGGCGGCUGUCUGGUCUGCAACUGACGCUGAGGCUCGAAAGCAUGGGUAGCGAACAGGAUUAGAUACCCUGGUAGUCCAUGCCGUAAACGAUGAGUGCUAGGUGUUGGAGGGUUUCCGCCCUUCAGUGCCGGAGCUAACGCAUUAAGCACUCCGCCUGGGGAGUACGACCGCAAGGUUGAAACUCAAAGGAAUUGACGGGGGCCCGCACAAGCGGUGGAGCAUGUGGUUUAAUUCGAAGCUACGCGAAGAACCUUACCAGGUCUUGACAUCUUGCGCUAACCUUAGAGAUAAGGCGUUCCCUUCGGGGACGCAAUGACAGGUGGUGCAUGGUCGUCGUCAGCUCGUGUCGUGAGAUGUUGGGUUAAGUCCCGCAACGAGCGCAACCCUUGUUACUAGUUGCCAGCAUUAAGUUGGGCACUCUAGUGAGACUGCCGGUGACAAACCGGAGGAAGGUGGGGACGACGUCAGAUCAUCAUGCCCCUCAUGACCUGGGCUACACACGUGCUACAAUGGACGGUACAACGAGUCGCAAGCUCGCGAGAGUAAGCUAAUCUCUUAAAGCUGUUCUCAGUUCGGACUGUAGGCUGCAACUCGCCUACACGAAGUCGGAAUCGCUAGUAAUCGCGGAUCAGAAUGCUGCGGUGAAUACGUUCCCGGGUCUUGUACUCACCGCCCGUCA
This 1434-nucleotide ribosomal RNA is filed under the name uncultured bacterium. RNAcentral's name for it is "16S ribosomal RNA". It matches the Rfam family "Bacterial small subunit ribosomal RNA". The record is from RNAcentral.